This 496-nucleotide ribosomal RNA is filed under the name uncultured bacterium. RNAcentral describes it as "partial 16S ribosomal RNA". It matches the Rfam family "Bacterial small subunit ribosomal RNA", at positions 28 to 506 of the family's 1533-position model. The record is from RNAcentral.
GACGAACGCUGGCGGCGUGCCUAAUACAUGCAAGUUGAGCGCUGAAGGUUGGUACUUGUACCAACUGGAUGAGCAGCGAACGGGUGAGUAACGCGUGGGGAAUCUGCCUUUGAGCGGGGGACAACAUUUGGAAACGAAUGCUAAUACCGCAUAAAAACUUUAAACACAAGUUUUAAGUUUGAAAGAUGCAAUUGCAUCACUCAAAGAUGAUCCCGCGUUGUAUUAGCUAGUUGGUGAGGUAAAGGCUCACCAAGGCGAUGAUACAUAGCCGACCUGAGAGGGUGAUCGGCCACAUUGGGACUGAGACACGGCCCAAACUCCUACGGGAGGCAGCAGUAGGGAAUCUUCGGCAAUGGACGAAAGUCUGACCGAGCAACGCCGCGUGAGUGAAGAAGGUUUUCGGAUCGUAAAACUCUGUUGGUAGAGAAGAACGUUGGUGAGAGUGGAAAGCUCAUCAAGUGACGGUAACUACCCAGAAAGGGACGGCUAACCACGU